AAACCUGAAAUUGCACGAAAAUAACUUUAAACACUAUAAUUAUCAUAGUUUAGCUAAUUAAAAGCAAGAAAAGAAGCUAACUAAGUCGUAUAAAUAUGCUCCUAUCAAGGGGUAGCUCAAACUUAUUAAAUUUUGGAGAUAAAGUGUAUAUUUAUAGGAGAGAUGGAGAAGAUGGUCUGGCCCUCUAGGGUUUAAGGGUGGCUGGCCCUAUGUGGUAUUUUAAGUGAGAAUAUUCCAAGAUAUUUGUGUAAAGAAAUAUCUUGGAGUAAUUAGGUAAAUAUCCUAAAUAAAUGUAAUUACGAUAACUUACUUGAUAGAGGUAUUCUCUAAUAAGAAAUGUAUUUAUGAUAAGAAUAAGGGAUUAUUCUAUCAUAAAUACUUUUGACUUUUCUUAUGGGCAGGGGUGCCUUGAGCAGUCGUUGAUCUCUGUCUGCUCUACCUUAGUUGCCCGUGGUGAAUGAGACCACUCCUUGCUUAUUUAAUAAGGGCAGUCUUGUCUUUCUUGGAAAAUAAUCCACAUGUCAACUCUAUGAUUUUUGGGAUUAUUUUUGGCUCCACACCAUGUUAGACCAAUUUUUUUUUUUAUAACAAGUAUCAUGUAUGAGAUUUGGGUGGUUAUUAUGCAAAAAGUGAAAAAUGAUGUGCAUAGAUUUCUUUUUUUCUACAGCUUUUCACCUUAUAAUAUGUGGUA
RNAcentral lists this long non-coding RNA (691 nucleotides) under Malus domestica (apple). Its description in RNAcentral is "long non-coding RNA (MDOM_LNC012897)". The record is from RNAcentral. Lineage: Eukaryota; Viridiplantae; Streptophyta; Magnoliopsida; Rosales; Rosaceae.